This 330-nucleotide ribosomal RNA is filed under the name uncultured bacterium. Its description in RNAcentral is "bacterial SSU rRNA". It matches the Rfam family "Bacterial small subunit ribosomal RNA", at positions 1 to 334 of the family's 1533-position model. The record is from RNAcentral.
CUAGCGACUUCAGAGUUUGAUCCUGGCUCAGGAUUAACGCUGGCGGCGUGCAUAACACAUUCAAGUCGAACGGAAUAUGGAAACAUAUUUAGUGGCGGACGGGUGAGUAACGCGUGAGCAAUCUACCUCCAGGUAAGGGAUAACAACCGGAAACAGUUGCUAAUACCUUAUAACGUAUAGAGGGAGCAUUCCUAUUAUACCAAAGGCUUGCUGCCUGGAGAUGAGCUUGCGUCUGAUUAGGUAGUUGGUGAGGUAACGGCCCACCAAGCCGACGAUCGGUAGCCGGACUGAGAGGUUGAACGGCCACAUUGGAACUGAGAUACGGUCCAG